This 923-nucleotide long non-coding RNA is filed under the name Oncorhynchus mykiss (rainbow trout). Its description in RNAcentral is "lncRNA (ENSOMYG00000021452.2)". The record is from RNAcentral. Lineage: Eukaryota; Metazoa; Chordata; Actinopteri; Salmoniformes; Salmonidae.
UAAAAAUAUAAAACCAUCCGUUCAUUCCAAAACCAAUCAUAAAUGUUGUUGUGCUGGUGUGGUAGUUGUGAUUGUUAUCAUCAUGAGGUUGGUCAGCUGUGACAUUUUUUAAAACAUGUUUUUCUCUUUAAAUACUUAGCUAUUCAAGAAGGGGAACAAGAAGGAUUCCCACCGCUCUGAAUCAGAACAAGUACAGACCACUGCUGAAGAUGGCAUGCUGCCCAGCAUAGUGCCACAUGCUGCCAUGUCUGCACUGCCAAACGAUCUCCCCGUCAGCUCCCAACAGGAGACGCCUCACAAACGUCCACUUCUCGUCAGGAUGUUUUCUGCCAUCUCCAAAGGCCUGUUCAAGCCCUUCAAACAGUCCUUAAAGACCAAGUAACUUCAGACAAUUUAUUAAACGUCAUUCAUUGCAUUAAAUUGGCCUUUGUCUUCUUAUGUGCUCCCGUUAACAGACCAGAUUACAAUACUGGUCUUUUAAAUGUUAGCAGUGAUAGCAACAUUAACUAUAGUGGUGUGUGUAUAGCCCUUCUACACAGUCUGACUCUUCUGACACUGUGUGACAUGCCCUCUGAUCCAGUGAUCUAGGAUCUUCUGAGUGGCUUUAGGCCUGAAUCUCUGCCCUCCUGCCCAAAUAAAUGUUUUCUCUUCUGAUAUAUCUGCCACUGUCAGCAGCCAGCAGGGGAAAACAGACAAUGCUGUUGAGAGCUUUCUUUUCUCCCUCAUGACUAAAACACUGAGAAAGGCUUUUAUCUAUUGCAGCAUAUUCCAUCUUUUGAUUUAACCUAUUAUACGGUAGAAGUACCCAUUAUUUCCCAACGGUUAUAUCACAGGAAAUGUGUUAUAAAAAGUAAACUUACAGUGCAUCCGGAAAGUAUUCAGACCACUUGACUUUUUCCACAUCGUUACGCCUUAUUCUAAAA